AUUGAACGCUGGCGGCAGGCCUAACACAUGCAAGUCGAACGGUAACAGGAAGCAGCUUGCUGCUUCGCUGACGAGUGGCGGACGGGUGAGUAAUGUCUGGGAAACUGCCCGAUGGAGGGGGAUAACUACUGGAAACGGUAGCUAAUACCGCAUAACGUCGCAAGACCAAAGAGGGGGACCUUAGGGCCUCUUGCCAUCGGCUGUGCCCAGAUGGGAUUAGCUAGUAGGUGGGGUAACGGCUCACCUAGGCGACGAUCCCUAGCUGGUCUGAGAGGCUGACCGGCCACACUGGAACUGAGACACGGUCCAGACUCCUACGGGAGGCAGCAGUGGGGAAUAUUGCACAAAGGGCGCAAGCCUGAUGCAGCCAUGCCGCGUGUAUGAAGAAGGCCUUCGGGUUGUAAAGUACUUUCAGCGGGGAGGAAGGGAGUAAAGUUAAUACCUUUGCUCAUUGACGUUACCCGCAGAAGAAGCAACGGCUAACUCCGUG
This 490-nucleotide ribosomal RNA is filed under the name uncultured bacterium. Its description in RNAcentral is "partial 16S ribosomal RNA". It matches the Rfam family "Bacterial small subunit ribosomal RNA", at positions 30 to 507 of the family's 1533-position model. The record is from RNAcentral.